GGCCGCGAACGCUCGGCGGCGCUGCCCAUGGCCCAGUCCGAGAGCCGAUUCGGGGCGCCCGACGGGCUGGACCGCUUCGCGGCUCAGCUAAUAUCACCAAGCUGUGAUUGACUGAGGAAAUGUCUGUGAGCUCCUGUUUACUGACAAUUGAUCUUGUACCAGAGGGUCAGCAGAGCUCCUCUUUUUGAUGGGCUGCUUGAGGCCCAGAGAGGAAAGAAGUGCUUUUAAGAGUCAAGAUUUAAAUAUCAGCUCUUCUCUUUUGCCUCUUUGCUUCCUGGCCACCAUGACAUGAGCAGCUUUUCUCCACCAGACCCUUCCACCGUGCCGUUUCUGCCUCGGCUCUGGUGACCAUAGACUGAAACCACUAAAACUGUGUGCCAAAAUAAACCUCCUCUUCAAGUUGUGGGUGUCAUGUAUUUUAUCCUGGAGGCAGAAAGCUGACCAUACAGACCGGAAGUGUUCGUUUCCAUCUCUACCUUUCCAUUUGCACAGGGGCUCCUUGGGGAGGGUUCUCAUUUUGGUCCUAUGUUACUCACCAAGGCCCCACCAAGCCUGCACAUAGCAGGCCUGGCCACUGAGUCCUGAGCAAGUAACAUGUGCCUCUUGGGGAAAUGUUGAGUUUGCUAAUUUUUACCAUGUUUGGAAGAGAAAAAGGAGGAUAGUUAUUGUAAGACGAAAUCUUAGAACCUAAUUUAGUUAAGGAAAACUAAAGAAAGCCCAUCUAGAAAUCUCAUGAUAAUUUCUAAAGCAUCAUUUCACUUGAAUUCAGUGUACUGCGUUAGUCAGCUUUCCAUGACUGUGAUAAAAUACUGGAGCUAAUCAACUUUAAAAGAGGGAAGGCUUAUAUUGGCUUAUAGUUUUGCAGAUUUCAAUCCAUGGUCCAUUGGCUGGCUGCUUUGGGGCCUGUGGCAAGACAGUGCAUCAAGGCAGGAGUAUGUGGCAGGGGAAGAUGUACAUCUCCUGGCAGCUAGGAAGCAAAGAGAGAAAGAAAGCAGCAUCCCAAAGUACUCUUUGAGGACAUGGCCCCAGGGGCCUAAUGCCUCCUAUUGGGACUACCUCCUAAUGUUUCCCUAACUCUCACUAGUGCCAUGGUCUAAGGAGCAAGUUUUUAAGCCAUAGACCAUGAGGACACUUACCCAAACGUCUCAUUUAGUUGCUUUCUGUGGCAUAGUGGACCUCAGUGACUCUCCCAGAUUGAUACUAAUCUGGAACAGAAAGCCUGAAUGUUCAUGCCAGCUUGUUGGAUGCAUAAAUGUGGUUGUUACAGCAAAAAAAGCAAUGGGACUGACCAAGGAGGUCGAGGUCAGUUAUAUCCUUUAGAUUCUUCUCAAAAUUUAUGCUCAUGAAAUCAUCAUUUAGCUUGAAAAUUUGCAGGGUCUUGAAGCAUGUGUUAAGCUUCAUUAAUAAUGCAUUGCUGGCCUUAAGAAGGUGUGACAGUAGCAGGAAAUCUGAAAACCUCAGCUCAGUGAUCACACGUGCCGGAGAGUUUCUGCAGCAGGUUCCUCUAGGGGGGCUGGCAUCGGUGCUCCAUGAGUGAAACCUCUUCGGUCCUGUCCUAUCCUGGGGUCACUGCAGAAGAUGGAGAAGCCUGUAAAAGCCCAUGGCUGGCAGGCUGCUUCUGUCCUUCCCCAUGGCCCUGCUCUCCCUCCUUAUCUACUAAGAGUUAGGGGAAGAAACACAGCAUUUUUACACCGUCUUUGCUUUCAUUUUGAAACACAAAACAAACCAUUUCCAAAUGUAGCUCUCUUACAGCUUUUCUGAUCCUAUCACACAUUAAUAGGACAAAUUCUAUAGUAUAAUUGCCUCCUUUUAAUUUAUUAAUCUCCUCCCCCACACGUGCGCACACCACACACACACACUGUACCCUGUGUGGGCUCAAAUUGUCUGAGAAGGGACAGGCUGGAUGUGGAUUUGUCUCCGAUUCCCUAGUGCCUGAUACACAGCAUGUCUAUUCCGGUCUUGACACUGAAUUGUAGAAAUUCCGGUCUGAUCAUCUGGUUUUUGCAUUCCUGAUAUUCAUGAAAGGUUGCUUUUCUGUUUGUUUAGGAAGGACUUGAGCACUGUAAGUGGUAAGAACCAGGAUGCUGGGCCCAUGAGACAGCUCUUAGUCCCUCCCUGCUAUCCUAAGCAAUUCUAUUCCUUCCCAAGGGGGGGCGGGUACUGGGGUCUGAACCCACAGCCUUACACAUGCUAAGCUCAUGCUCCACCACUCAGCUCCCCAGGCCUCACUGGCAAACUUCCAGACCUCUCCGAAGGAGACAAAAGCCCUAGAGUAAACUACUUCCACCCAGCCUAGAAGGUCAUUAACCCGACCUGUGGAGACAGAGGGACUGAAAUUUUUGUACCACAGGCACAAUCCUUUUGUCCCUGCCUGAAGCUGAAACGCUUCUUCUAAUAGAGUCACUGAGAAACUUUUAUAUAAUGCUUGCAUUAGUCAAUUUUGAGUGCCGUAACAAAGUAUGGUAACCUUGGUGGGUUAAUAUCAGAAGUUUAUUUUUCACAGUUCUGGAGGCUGAGAAGUCAGAGGUCAGAGGGCCGCCACAGGUGGGUUUUGGUGAGGUCCCUCUGGGUACAGAUUGCCAAAUUUUCAUGGUAUUCUUAUGUGGGGGAAAGCGAAUGAGCUGGCUCUGGGAGCUCUUCCUAAGGGCCGUAAUCCCAGCCCUGAGGGUGCCACUUUGUGAUCUGAUCCCCUCCCAGCAGUGUCCCAGUGGGGUUAGAUUUCAGUAUAUGAAUUGUGGAGGAACACAAAGAUUCGGUUCCAUCUGAGUCUACUUCUGCUGCUGGAACCAAAUACCUAGGACGGGUAGAUUUCCAUGAACAGAAAUGUUUCCUGCAGGCAAGAGCUGAUGUGUGACAAGGGCUGUUAUGCUGAGUAGUCAUCCCAUGGCAAAGGGGGGAUGGGCCAGAGAAAGAGGAGUAGAGGCUGUACCAGAGGCGUGGCUGCAUUACUGAACAUGGAACUGCCCUAACCGAACACCUCCCCUUUAGGCACCCUCUCCCGGGGCUGCAUUGGGAAUUAGCGUUACUUGGUUUUUGGCAGACACUUUCAAACCACAGCAUGUGCAGAACAAUGCAGACCUCCUCCUCCUCCGGCACCCAUCUUAUUUUGUUCCUGUAAUGACUAAGCACCUUCUUUAGAUUCUUACCUUGGCUAACUGAUCUACCUCUUCCUCAGGUCCUAGGUUUAAUUAAUAUUCACUGAAUGAGUGCUAAAUAUAAUCUGUAUGGAAUGCGAGUAGCAACCACAGUGGGAGAGACCCUACCCAAGGAAGGAGUCUUUUUUUCCUAUUCGAGGUAACAUCAUUCCCCUAACACCCCCUAGCAAUAAGACUCUUAUCUAGCAGCAUAGAAAUUCGAUAUAUUUUUCUAUCUUUAACUUAGGAAAUGUCAGAUGAAUUGUGGAACAAGUGACAAGUCUCUGUGGAUCAUUUUGAGCAGUAAAAGUCAGUAUUUUGUUCAGCGUUUUAGAAAAUUGCUAAGACAAAUAUAUUUCUUAAUUCUCUAUAGCUUUUACUUUUAAGAUGCAUGUCAAGAGAUCAUAGCGUAUAUUUCUGCAUUAUUUCCUUUGUAAACAGAGGCUUAGAGUAUUUCUUCAUCAAGCUGAAGGUCGCAGGGCAGUGAGGGCAGAACUCGGGACUGGAUGCCAGCUUCUGACUCCUGGACUCCCACUCAGCCCUCUCCUGCAUUGGGCCUUUCAAGCAGUGAAGACUUUGUAGAGAUGCCUUUUGUGUUCCUGAGAUUGGGUUAGUGAUUUUGAUGACCUAAAUAGAUCCCUUGUCACCUGCAGCACUGGGGAUUAAGUAGGUGACAAUGGCUGACUCUCCCUGAGGGUUUCCACACCGCAGUUCCAGUUCUCAGAACAAUCCUACUCUUCUUGCCACUCCCACAUUUCAGAUAAGAAACCCAGGCUGCUCUUGGUCAUGCAGAGGGAAUGCAGUGUGGAGGGAGGAUUCAGUCUCCUGUGCCUAACCACCAAUCCCGCUCCUCUGAGCUUCUGUAACUCACCUCCAUACAUCCAGAAUUGCUCUGCUAGACACCACCUUGUUUCACCUAUGUUAAGUAGUAAGAAACAAUUUUGCAAGACCUUUACACUGACCUGCAUCACCAGCCCAUGUUUUUAUUGCUUAUUUUGAAACAGGCUCUUGCUAAGUUGCCCAAGCUGCCAUCCAAGUUGUGCCUCAGCCUCAAAGAGUGCUGGGAUUACAGGCUUGAGCACAGACAGCGUAUCUCUGAAACGUGCAAAACAUAAGUUAGAAAGAAAGACUGCCAAGGCUCACGAUGAGCUAACUUGAAACACGCCAAUUGAGCUGAAGAUGCUGCAGUUGUAAUAAAAGAUAAAGAGAGAUCUCAUAGUGUUAUGUUGGGGGUAAGAUCUGGGUAUUGUGGUAAAUUGGAUAGAUUACAUGGCCUUUAACUAUCUCAAGAUGAGCUAGACAAGGGAGCAGGUGUCCCUUGCUUAAAGAAAAUGUAUUAUGGAUAUAAGAAAGUGUCGCACGUCUGAAACCCCAGCACUGGGAGCCUAAGACAGGGACAUCACAAGUUCAAGCCCAGCCUGGACAAUGUAGUGGGUUAGUGAGAACCUGUCUCAAAAAAAAAGAAUCUUAAUGGAGAAAUAAAAUUGAAGCUUGCAGCAGCGGCAAAUAGGAUACUAAUUAAAUUUAUAGAAUCCAAAGCAUCUGAAUAAAGAAAUAUCGAACUUGCAUAGCAUUUCAACUUAUUUUUAAGUGAGGGACACGUGGAAAUGACAGCGGUGUAUGUACACAUUUGGGGGCCGAGGAAAGAAUCGUGCACUGUUGUUUUCCUUAGUGUUAUCACAUAAACAGCAAACACAUUUAUUCAAGAAAGGGAAAACAUGGCCAGUACGAAGCGCAGCCUGUGGUGCCCUGGUCACUGUGCCCAGUCAGGUCCCAACUCCUUGCGGGCCUGUUUGUGUCUUAGCCUCUGCUCGCUUCCUGGUUCAUUUCACGGUGCCUGGCAAUCCCAAGGGUGCCUGACUUGGGAUGGUUUCACGUAGCCAUUCUUCCACUUUAUGAAGGUGCAGAAGUGAGAUGCCUGUGUAGGAACCAUGUUUUGAACUGCGAGCACCUUCUGGUCCAGCAGUGUUCGGUCUCAUUUCUGUCUGAGCUGCUGGGCAACACCACGGAGCUGGAGCUCAGUGCUCUGGACACAAGGAACAGCUGCCACCCCGAGCCGCCGUGCUGUGACGUUCAGUUGGUUACGGGUGUUUGGUGCAUUUUUAAAUCACAGGCUUUCCAACGGCCAUGUCUGGCUGUCACCCGUCGUAAAUCCCAGAGUAUGUGUUCAAUGAACCCCGAUGAGCCAAUCACACAAAUAAUCAGAUAUCUCUUGGGGGCUCUGUGGUAGAGCACAUUCCCUACCUGUGUGAGACCACAGGUUCCAUUCCUAGCAAGGAAACAGAAAUCUCUUAGCAGUUUUCAAGCUUUCCCAUUAACUCCCCCCGGACCCCGUUAGAACCAUCUGUAGUGAAGUGGCUUUGCUAGACUCCGAGCUCAGAACCCUGUUUGUCAUUCUUCUGUGUGUCUAAGUUCCUCUGCACUCCCUGGACUCUGUCCCCAGAACAGACAGAAGGGAAGCUGGGGUUUCUGAGGCGAGGACUCCAGAUUCCUGCAGCCUUGUCUCCAGGAACACCUGUCGUAGCUGUGUGGCCACGGCAAAGCCCAGCUCCAGCCAGGGCUUCCACCUCACCAAGCCGCAGCUCCUGCUGGGGACCAUUCUGGAAGGCCUGUGCCUGGGAGACUUUGAGCGCAGUGCUGGGCGUGGACAUCACCUGCCCUGUGGCCGCCAACCUGACGCUCCCUGCUCCUCUGCCAGCUCUGUCUCUGGCUGGGCGCUCAUGGGGCUGCACUGUGCACAUCUCCUCUGCACUCAGUGUUUGCCUCCUCCCACGUGUGUCUUCCACAUUGCUCUCUGAGAACAGCACUGGUUGCUCAGCGCAGCCUUAGGCACCCUGUCGACACCUUGUAAAAGUGCUCACCUGUGGGUGCAUGGAGACCUUAGGCAUCGGUCCUGCCAGGCUUGCUCUGUAAUUUUUAAAAAGUUUUCUCUUAUCUUCUCCUUAUUUGGUAACUAAUGUCCAUUGUUGACAUUAAUAAAAAUCAGGACAACACUUAAAAAUGCAUAGUUGAAUCUUGAGAAAUAGGAAGACCAGACCACCCUGGUCCCUGGUCUCCAACAGCAUCUGCCAGAAUCUGCCUAGCUGGCUCUUCGCAUGCAGCACGUGCACGGCUGCUUGCCAGGGCUGCACCAGCCAACUGGCUUCAUGUGUGAGGUCACGUGGCUGGAUCCAGCAGGCAGUUCUGUGCUUGUACAGCAGAAGGGUCCCAGACCAAUGCAUUCUCUAUUGUCGUUUUUCGGCUGGCCUUGUCAGCUGAGCUGCCAUAAGCCAAUGUCCUAGGGUAGGGGUUCAGCAGUAGCCAUUUAGUUCUCACAGGUCUGCAGGCCGGAAGACCAAUAUGGAGGCAUGGGCAUAUGGUUCCAGCUGAGAGUCUCUUCUGGGCAUGUAGAUGGCUGCCCUCUCUUUGUAUCUUUCCAUGGUGAGGAGAGCGAGCUCUGGUCUUUUCCUUUUCUUGCAAAGACACUAAACCUUUCACAUUAGGCUCCAACCACAUGACCUCAUCUAAACCUACUCACCUUUCGAAAUCUCUGCCUCCAAAUACUGUGACAUAGUGGGGUAAGCCUUCAACAGAUGGAUAUUGGAGGACACAAAUACUCAGUCCAUUUUAGGCUGGUUCAGACAAUCAGGCAAAUCCUUCCUGCAUCUCUGUCCAUCCAGGUACAGACUGAUGUACUUCGGUUUGCGUGGAUAUUUUUCCAGCUGUGAACUAUUCUAAUCUCCCUAAUCCAGAUCCAAAAAGCAGUGCAGAUGUCCAUGUGUUUGGGCACAGGGAUCAGGAGACCUUGCUAUCCUACCCCGUUCAGAAUCUACUUACUUACCUGACCUUUGGGUUCUCAUUCCCCUACCUCAGCUUCCCUUUCUGCAAAAUAAUUAGACAGAAUAAGAUGACACAUGGCCCUUUUGCUUCCAGUGCCCUGUGUCCCCUCCUGGCCAUUUCUAGGGAGACACAUGGAAUUCUCCUGGAUAUUGAAGCCAUGGGCCCCAGCCAGUGAUGCCCCUGCAGCUGAGGUAGCACCUGCCAGAGGAGGUGGAGUCAUCCCUGGGGCAGAACCAAAGCCACACCCAGCAGAGUGGGCUGUGGCAGCACCGCUCUGCCUCCUGUCUGCAGCAGAGCCUGUUUCCACUCAGCUGCACGAAGUAAUGGGAGAGGCCCUGUCCGCCCUCCUGUCACGGAGCACUGCCUGUGCCAGUGUGUUUCUGAGUCUAAUGAAGGAUUUAUUUAGGUCACCACUGCCUUCUGAGCCCAGCAACACAGACAAAGCUUGAAGCACGUUUCGGAGGAGCAGCUCCACCUCCUUGCCUGGGGCUCACCAAGGCGCACACCUGCCGCUCAUCAUUCAUUUAGGAGGGGCUGGGAAGGGCCUCUUCUGCCCCUCCACGAGCACAGAGCCUGCUUCGCUUCGGUGUGUCACUUCCUUUCCUCCUUGAGCCUCUGUCUGGUUGAGUCACUGCGGUACUCUGGACUGUGAACAAAUGUGUUUGACUAAUUAUCAUCCCUGCAUCCCAUUUAUACCAUUCAGCAUUUUAGGGACAAAAAUAGCUACCAUGAUUGGAAGACUUGCCAUGGGCCAGACAGGGUGGUACAGCCCAAGUAUUCGGAUAUGCUCUUUUACUUAAUCCUUACAAUAAAUACAUACGGCCAGUGUAUUUGAACUCAGGCUUUGGGUUUCAAGGCUGUUUAGUGGGUUUUAAAUUACAGGGUUGAUAUCUGAGCCCGGAUUUUUGACUGAAAUGCUCUGAUUCCAGCAUCGCCUUCUCUGCCCUUCUUCCUAUAAUACCACCUCUGGGACCAGACUGACUUCCCCCUUUGUUGUUUACCAGGAUUGCUUUUAAUCCUGGAAUUAAAAACAAUCCCAACCACAGUAAGAAACUACCCAAAAAACAAAGAACACCUCUUUUAAGGGCUGAGAUAAUCAGAAUCUGACUGGGUGUCCACAUUCCGAACUCAUUUGAGGACUAUAGGUGGAUAGGUAGGCUCCUCUGAGAGCUUCUUAGGAAUGCCGGUUCUGAGGUCUCUCCCCAGACCUCCUGCAAUAAAAUCAGCCUUUUGAAUUGGAUCUCCAGGCGACUGUGCUGUGCGUAUCCUGCUUGGCAACACUGUGCUCAGUGACUGUAACAUGCAGCCUGAACUCCUGGGAGGGAAGCAAGAGGCGCCUCCCUCUGAACUGUUGAUCUGGAUUCCUGGGCCUCAUCUUCCACCCAGUGUGGAAAAUGAUGCUGUGUAGCUUGACGUCAGGCUACCCCAAGGAGCAGGCUACAUUUACCGUUCUUAUUUUGCCAUGGAGCCCUCAGAGGCUCCAAGAUGACACUGAGAUAAUAAAUCUCUGGGCCCAAAUCCCUGCUCCUGCAAGGACGUCCUGCUGCCUUCCUUGGUCUGCACAGGCAUCUCCUCCCUUCAUUCCUACAGUGUGGUGUUUCUUAUCCAGCUAAUCCUUUGCAACAUGGAUCUCCUAGCAUUGCUGAGCAUCGCAGGGGGCAUAGGGGCAUAGCAUACCUGGAAGAGCUGCCUUCCAAGAGUCUUCAUUUUUUUCAGUGGGGAAAUGGGGUCUACAACACUUCUAUUUUGCCCCCAUGGUAAAUGUGGUCCAAGGAACCUUAUUAAGAUUAUGAGAACUAAGCUUUGUUCCUUUCUACCCUGAGCUUGUCCCACCCCAUCCCACUUCACAGCAAUGACCAUGAGACCAACCGAACCACAGUGAAUGUCAAUAUUUGUUGAAGUGUCAUGUAUGUAUAGGCAAUUUCAAGAAAAUAAAUAUUUAUGCAGGUCUUAAAAUAUCAAUGUCCUUUCAUAGACUGACAGGCACAAGCUGGAGCCGUUUCCUCUUUCUUGAUUUCCAAGAUGACCUUCGGAGGAUGGAAAUUUGACACCACAGCAACAGGCUAUUAAAUGAUUGUGCAAACAUGAACAUGAAGACAUUUUUUGACUCUUAGAGAUGAGCAAAUAACCUUACACUUUGGAGUGCUCAGAAUUUCAGCUGCAUAAAAAAAAAAAAUGACACUUCUGUUGUUCACACUGUCAUUACCCAGAAAGUUAAAUCACUCCGUACUUUGGGAUGCUUGGAAAGAAGCAGUUUUUGCAUAGCAGCAUAACAGAUUCACACUUUCUGCUAUCUUAUCAUGCUUUUGCGCAAGCUCCUCCCUCUGCCUGGAAUGCACUCUCCACUUCCCAUGGAGAAGCAGCCCUGUUCAGAGGAGGAAAAAACACACAAAGGGCUUUGGAGAUGGUCCAUGGAAUUUUGGUUUUGAUAUAGUCCUUCCUGGUGCUGUGAUCCUGGGGAGGCCAUUUAACCCUGACAGCAUGUUUCCAAGUCUUUCCUGGGGACAAAGGCAGGCCAUGACUGUUGACUCUACUGGGUGCUAGGCACUGUGCUGCCUGUUUAGCAUGUGUGAUCUUAUUUAAUGGUGGAGUCACCUGUAUGAAGAAGGUGUAAGCUUAUUCUAUAAAAUGGCACACUGAGCCCCUCAGAAGGAAGAAACUUAGCUGAGGUCAGUUAGCUGUAACAAUUCCAACUUGUAUCUGUCUGACUAAAAAAGCUUCUUUGCUUUGCUUUUUUCCUCCUACUUUUCACCACCUUUUCAUGGCUUAUAAAUAUAAAAUUAAAUGGAAACAACCAUCUCUCAGUAGUGUUGUGAGUCUCAGAAGAGGGAAUUGAUAUGCAAGUGCUUACUGCCCGGUGCACAGUGGGUGCUCAGCACGCAAUCUCUUCUUUUCCAUCUCUUGUUAAAGGCAUAGAUGACUUGUGGCCAGGUGUUUUGAGGGUCCGUGCUCCCCUAGAGGAGAUCCUUGGCUGCACCACCUGUGCUGCCACCUCUCUCUUCCAGGGGCUGUCACUGCCCUGUGGAUGGAAGGAGGUCGGCAUCACGGUCCCUGAUGUGCUCAGUUUACCUUUUGAGAAACAUUCCAGUUACUUCAUUUGAUCCAUGAGUAAGUUCCAGCAUUGAGACUGAGAGAAUAUAUUACCGUUAAUUACGUUUGAAAUCUAGGUCAAGGUGUGAAUUAUAUAAUAAGGAAACUUAUGGGAAAAAAUAAAAUAUUUUGAAGAGAUAUUUCAUAGCUUCCCCUCCCUUUUUUUAUUUUCAUUUUUUUUUGUACCAGGGAUUGAACUCAGAACAUGGUGUUUGUGAGGCAGGCGGCAGAACCACUGAGCUAAGUUCCCAGCCCUCCCCUCCUUUUUAAUUAAAAUAUUUUCUAGACUUUUAGGUGAUGUUGUCCAAUCACCUAAAGAAAAGUUGAAUACCCCUUUUCAUAUCUGGUCUCUGCUCGACUCUCUAGGGAAUGAAGACUACCUUUUGACAAAAUCUUUUUCAAAGACAAUUGAAAUAAGUUCUUCUUUCUUUAAAUUAAAGACUUUCCUCAGCAACUCCUAGCUACGGGCCUACCUGUCUACUGCAUUUGACAAGUCUAUGGAGCAAAUGGAUCUCUAGUACCUACCAUGUGCCAGACAUCAGUGGUGCCAGGGGCUGGGGGUGCAGCAGAGGGAGAUGAGACACCCACAAGGAGGCUGGACAAUGUGCAGACAGUAAACAUGCAUAGCAUGUGAGCAGUGUAACGUGAUUGUAUGAAAGAAAGUGAUUAGCAAGGAAAGGUGGGCUCAUGCUCUGAGGAAAGCUGGCAUUUGAAAUACAUCUGAAUGACAAGAAAGAGCCAGCCUCAGGAAUCCCAGGGCACAGCUUCCUGGAAAGGGAAAGCAGCAGUGGCGAGGCCCCAAAGCUGGGAUGAUCCUGGAGUAUCAGAAGGGACAGAAAAGCAAGUGAGGCUGAGCUUGGCUGAUGGAGCACCGAUGAAGGACUGAGGAGGAGGUGGGUUUUCCCAGCUUGGAAAGGAGUUUUCGUUUAAUUCCAUGCUUAAGAGCAGUUUCCAAGUGGUAAAUUCUGUAGCCUCUCCUUGGGCUCUUUUGCCUGGCAAAAGUUGUUGUGGUCAACAACUUCGCAGUGGGACCCAAGGAAACCCACUGUCCCUGACACAGACAGAGAGAACCCUGUCUUGAAUUCUUAGAACUCCACCUUGGUUUGGCCCCCGCAGUGCCCAGAAGAAAUAAGAGAAAGUAAGGGGUGGUUAGAUCUCCCUUUGGGACCUAUUAGCCCUUCUACAAAAGGAAAGAGGGUUCAUUUUGCUCUUCUAGCAAGCCUGGGCCUUCAGAGGAAUUCUGUGCCUCAUCCAAGAAUUGGUACCAGGAAUGAAUGUCCAACAGAGCAGAAGAAUCAGACCAAGGGGCCCAGUUACCAAAAAUCAAACACAGGCAAUUCUUGGUUAAGAAUCAGCCCACGGGGCCUGCUGACUAUUUGCACACUACUUUUACUGAUGUUUAGACAUCAGUAGCAGGUUUAGACAUCAGGCUCUGACAGACAGGAAAGUGAAGGCCCUGUCUUUGCCUACUCAGACCGAGUUUGAUCCCCUCACUGCCUCUGGUUUUCCAGGCACUGCAUUCCUGCGAGCCUGCCUUUCCUGUAGUCAUGGUAGUUCUUCUGUGGCUUCCAGUGAGGAGAACAGGCAGCUCAGUCUGUGAGUAGCAGGUGUCAGAGAAGGGAGCAGUCACUGUUCCUGCCGAGGGACAAGGCCCCCACCGCAGGCAUGGACAGCUCCAUGUCUGGCCUUGACGGCUGUGGGUCCCCACUUUCAUGAAAUCACAUGUGUUCAGCGUUACCUGGUUCAUUUCCUGUGAGAGAAUAAUGAAUUUACCAUGAGGGAGAAUAAAGAAUUUCUUUGCGAUGCCUGCAGGUUCGAACUUGCCUUCCUGGUCCUUUUCCUGCUUGGAAACUCUUCUGCUGUGAGUAGGGAGGGAAUCUUGAUUUACAGGGAGAGCUUUCCACAUUGAAUGAGCUUUCGGAGUUGGACACAGGGGUGCUUUCUUGCAAUCCUAGCUCUCUGGGAGGCUGAAGCAGGAGGAGGGUCGUAAGUCAGAGCCCAACCUGGGCAACUCAGUGACUUGGUGAGAUCCUAUCUUUAAAAGAAAAAAGGCUGGGAAUGUAGUUCAGUGCGGAGGACCUGGGUUCAAUCUGCAAAGGCCCUGGAGUUCAAUCUCCAGCACUGGCAAAAAAAGAAAGAAAAAAUUUUUUAAAAAAUUUAAAAGGGAGCUUUCAAAUGAAAGACGACAACUCUUCUCAGUGCCUUGUGGGGAUGAGGGCAGUGUGUGCUGAAAGGAGAAAUAUAUACGCACAGUGCUGGAUUUCCUAGGCAUGGUACAAUGCCAGAUAUCUCAUUAAUUUUGUAUAUUGAUUAUACGUUAGAGCCGUGAAGUUUGCAUAUAUUGGGUUACAUGUUUUUUUAAUGUGACUCCUGGAAAAUUCCCCUGUGCUCACCUUAUACAUCUGUUGGACAACCCUGAUACAUACUGUCUCCUUUCAAUCUCAAAGGAAGUCUUUGAGGCAGGUAGAAAUGUUGCCAUUUUACAGACGAGUAAACUGAGGCUCAGAGAGGCUCCAUCACUAUGACUAAAGUCAGCACCAGAAGCAGAACUAGCACUGCACACCUCUGCAGUAGCUUCUGACCCGUCCGCGGAACAGAAGUGAAGAAGGACAUGGACUCCGUGCUGCAUGUACCCGUGUGUCAGCUCCUCCUGGAGUUGGUGGCCAAGGAAAUGUCACUGCUGGACACAUUUACCUGGGUCUUUCCUCUUUUGGAACCCACAGCACUGUUAUUAUUUGCACUGAGACACUUCCUUAGAAGCCAGGGUACAGGUUCAGAAUUCAGUACUCCCAAGUUCCAGGCCCGAGUUUCUGUACAGCUGUGGGCAGUCAUCUCAGGGCCUCCUUGCCGCAGAAUGGGAAGGCGAGGGCUGUCCUACAUUCUCAUGUUUCAAGGCCCACUGUCAAGCUCAAGAUGGACCGGUUGACUGGCUUAUAGGUUCAUGUGAACUUGGGGAUCUUUUUUUCCUGACAGUGCUACUAAAAGGCCUAGACAUUCUGGCUAUGCCACCAGGAAGCCCAAAUUAUCCAGGAGUUGGCUCCCAAUGGCCACUGCGUAUGUGUACAACAUUGUAUUUCAUAUGUUAAUAUACUACAUAUGUUAACAUAUGGUGUGUUAUAUAUAUUUACAUAUGCAUGCACACAGCCCCUACACAUAAAUAUGUCAUGCGUGCCCAUAAGACUUGAGCUAAUUUUUCCCCAUAUACCUCAGAUGUUUUGGGAAUGAAAAAGGUUUAGACAUCAGUAAAUUUAUUUUUUGAAAAUAUUAAAAUAGAAGCAAGGAAUUUAAACUACUAACUGCCCAGUUUCUUUUUCCUUCCUUUUUUUUU
Non-coding RNA from Heterocephalus glaber (naked mole-rat), 13371 nucleotides. Lineage: Eukaryota; Metazoa; Chordata; Mammalia; Rodentia; Bathyergidae. The record is from RefSeq and is a predicted model, not a curated record.